AAAUAAGAAACAAAAUAUUGUAGUUAGUUUCGACCUAAAAUUUUGGUGAUUACACCCUUAUUUA
Molecule: transfer RNA, 64 nt
Filed under: Staphylinidae sp. BMNH 1274698
Lineage: Eukaryota; Metazoa; Arthropoda; Insecta; Coleoptera; Staphylinidae
Description: tRNA-Arg
Source: RNAcentral